CGGCGCUCCCAGACAGCCUGAUCUCCAAACUUUCCGCAGUCUCGGGACCACCGACCGAGCACGUGGGCUACGCUCGGUGCCCAGGCCAUUCGCGAGCCGACUCCUGGAUCCAGUCCAUUGAGUUUAGAAGCUCUUCCAGAGGACAAGAAGCAAACUACUCUCCAGUCCCCAACUUAUUUACUCCAAAGAGCCAUUAAAAGUCAGUCAUUUUGUUUCUGUAAUUCAUUUUACCCAACCCACAGCUGAAGGGCAAACCUUAGCAGAUUGCAAGUUUCCAACCAGGGUGUACUGGUGACACACGGCCUCACCUUUGGAGUUUAAUUGACUGUGAAAUCUCUCUUCCACGUUUGGCCCCAUUGUGGAAGAAAAAAGCAUUAUGAGCUAACUGAUUGAAGUGGAAAACAACUGAUGAUAUUGAACUUUAACUGAGCCCCUGCAUUCCUGGAAAGCAGCAAGAAUGGAGAAAUCUCCCCACUAUUUUGUCUUGAGAAAUGACCACCCUGUUCUCAUAUAUUCUGAGGUGAAUCUGCACUGGGGCUGCCUGUGAAUCUUCCUCGAAUGGAGUCCUCUUCUGAGUGGAGAGAAAUGGAAGUCUGGUCCAGCAUCACUAAACACACAGCACUAUCGUGAGCUUCGUCCAAAGUGAGACCAACUUGGCACAGACGGCCAUGAUACAGGGAGCCAGCAGUGGCAGACAGCCCUCACCUGAGACUGAAGAGGACAUUUCCAUCAGGGCGGACACGCAGCAUGAUGUUCUCCACAGUCGUAUCAUGGAUGAAGGAUCUUUUAGA
Molecule: long non-coding RNA, 791 nt
Organism: Pteropus alecto (black flying fox)
Lineage: Eukaryota; Metazoa; Chordata; Mammalia; Chiroptera; Pteropodidae
Exons: 5
Source: RefSeq, a predicted model, not a curated record